GACGAACGCUGGCGGCGCGCUUAACACAUGCAAGUCGAACGGAAAGGCCUGCUUUCCCUUGUGGAUUGCGGGUACUCGAGUGGCGAACGGGUGAGUAACACGUGAGUGAUCUGCCCCCAACUUGGGUAUAAGCCUGGGAAACUGGGUCUAAUUCCCGAUAGGACUGCAGGGUGGUGCCUGUGGUGGAAAACGACUUUCUAGUGGUUGGGGAUGAGCUCGCGGCCUAUCAGCUUGUUGGUGGGGUAAUGGCCUACCAAGGCGGCGACGGGUAGCCGGCCUGAGAGGGUGGACGGCCACAUUGGGACUGAGAUACGGCCCAGACUCCUACGGGAGGCAGCAGUGGGGAAUAUUGCACAAUGGGCGGAAGCCUGAUGCAGCGACGCCGCGUGGGGGAUGACGGCCUUCGGGUUGUAAACUCCUUUCGACCGCGAGGAAGCCACCUGGUUGGAAGGGUGGUGACGGUAGUGGUAGAAGAAGCACCGGCUAACUACGUG
This 494-nucleotide ribosomal RNA is filed under the name uncultured bacterium. Its description in RNAcentral is "partial 16S ribosomal RNA". It matches the Rfam family "Bacterial small subunit ribosomal RNA", at positions 28 to 507 of the family's 1533-position model. The record is from RNAcentral.